AAGUUUGUUCAAAAUCUGAUUACAUUAGCAAUUUCUCAAAUCCAUUGUACUGGCUUUGUAAUUUGAUGACCCACGGUGUCUAUUGACUCAGUCAGUGAAUUUCGUUGUUGUUUUUUUCUUAAAGGAAGAGAAAAAGACCUGACUCUGUUUGGAAAAUGCAAACAUGGAAGAACUCAGAAACAAUAGGUUUCUAGACUGGCUGGAAGAGGUGCCUUCCACCAUGAUUGUAAGUUUCCCGAGGCCGCCCUAGCCAUGUGGAACUAGUUGAGGACAAACUUGGAAAGAAGAAAGUAUUGGUUA
This 300-nucleotide long non-coding RNA is filed under the name Callithrix jacchus (white-tufted-ear marmoset). RNAcentral describes it as "lncRNA (ENSCJAG00000075112.1)". Lineage: Eukaryota; Metazoa; Chordata; Mammalia; Primates; Cebidae. The record is from RNAcentral.